GUUGAGUUUGAUCAUGGCUCAGAUUGAACGCAGGCGGCAUGCCUAACACAUGCAAGUCGAACGCGAAAGUCCUUCGGGGCGAGUAGAGUGGCGGACGGGUGAGUAAUGUGUGGGAAUCUGCCCUGCAGCGGGGGAUAACCCGGGGAAACUCGGACUAAUACCGCAUACGACCUACGGGUGAAAGGGGGCUUCGGCUCUCACUGCAGGAUGAGCCCACAUCCGAUUAGCUUGUUGGUGGGGUAAUGGCCUACCAAGGCUGCGAUCGGUAGCUGGUCUGAGAGGAUGAUCAGCCACACUGGGACUGAGACACGGCCCAGACUCCUACGGGAGGCAGCAGUGGGGAAUAUUGGACAAUGGGCGAAAGCCUGAUCCAGCAAUGCCGCGUGUGUGAAGAAGGCCUGCGGGUUGUAAAGCACUUUCAGCAAGGAAGAAAA
Molecule: ribosomal RNA, 434 nt
Filed under: Marichromatium bheemlicum
Lineage: Bacteria; Pseudomonadati; Pseudomonadota; Gammaproteobacteria; Chromatiales; Chromatiaceae
Description: bacterial SSU rRNA
Rfam family: Bacterial small subunit ribosomal RNA
Source: RNAcentral